Molecule: ribosomal RNA, 117 nt
Filed under: Candidatus Poribacteria bacterium
Lineage: Bacteria; Candidatus Poribacteria
Source: RNAcentral
UACGGUGGCAAUAGCGGAGGGGAAACACCUGUUCCCAUUCCGAACACGGCAGUUAAGCCCUCCUGCGCCGAUGAUACUUCGAGGGUAACUUCGUGGGAAAGUAGGACGUUGCCGUAA